GUUGAGGUCCGAUGUGUGGAGAAGAAUAGUCUUAAGAACCAACGUCAACAACCGGGCAUGAACUGCGGGUCUGAACUUUUUUGAGCUGGACCUAUUCAGGCCUAUAACCAACCAUACCCAACCAUUUGUUGUAAGAAACCGAACUGAACCAAACUCUUGUCAAAGUCAACCUAUUAACACCUGAACCAAGCGAAACCGUCAGCAGAAACCAAACCGAUACACC
RNAcentral lists this long non-coding RNA (223 nucleotides) under Hordeum vulgare. Its description in RNAcentral is "long non-coding RNA (HVUL_LNC000633)". The record is from RNAcentral. Lineage: Eukaryota; Viridiplantae; Streptophyta; Magnoliopsida; Poales; Poaceae.